Molecule: long non-coding RNA, 567 nt
Filed under: Phoenix dactylifera (date palm)
Lineage: Eukaryota; Viridiplantae; Streptophyta; Magnoliopsida; Arecales; Arecaceae
Description: long non-coding RNA (PDAC_LNC021564)
Source: RNAcentral
CCACGUAUCAACAUAUAUGACAUCUUAAAACCUGUCAUUUCAGCUCCUUUACAUAUUAUAAGAUUUACAGCAUACUUAAUUAGAUGUAAGCAUAAUUAGUUCAAGUCCAACUUUUUCCUUGUUGUAUAUUGAAAAGACAAAGGUUAUAACUAUCAUAUGUGCGAUUUUUUUUUAAGUUACAUUUCGAUGAUUCUGUCCAAUCUGGAACAUGUCGCCUUGCAACAAUCCUAUCUAGGGUCGUUAUUUUGGAGCUUGUGGUUCUUUUAUAAUUGACAAAUGUUGUAAAAUAUUUUGGUUGUAUUAUAUUGUUCUAUGAUUUUAGUCCGGACCAUGGUGGUUAUAGUGGGCAUAAUUUAUAGUGGACUGGUAGGUGACCGGUAGCCUGUAGGCUACCACCCAUACCGAGUGGUUGUAUCAAGCAAUGCACCACCUGGUUUGGCUUGUACCAGUCAGGUGUCAGUACAGGUGCCAAAACCGAUACUUAAAACCUUGAUAUUUUCAUGUGACAAUAUAACGGUGUUUCCAUUCGUUUGUUUACUUCUCUUUCACUUGAUACAACUUAUGUAA